GUGCUGAAAUAACAUUUUACUUAGAAAAUUUUAGUGGAAAACUUGCUGAACUUAUACCGAUAAUUAAUAGAGAAUGGAUUUCUCCUGAACCGCAUUAAUGUAUUUUAGAUGUUUACAAAAAUCACAAAUCUAAGAAAUUCAAAUUUAAUAAAUUCAACAUAAAUUACAAAAAUGCUUUAUUAAACUGCAUGAAGUUAAUGGAAGAUAAAGUGCAUUUUUUAAAAGAACCUAAUAAUAUAUCAAUGAAUAAUAUGGAUGUAAGCGACUUAAAACGUUACUAUAAUAUCAGUUAUUAUAUUAUAGAUUAUCGAUUGUCUUUAGCACAUAAUUCUACUCUUUUCAAAUAUAUAACUGGAGAUAUAUAUCAAAGCAAAUGUUUUGGAUGUAACAAAUACAGUAGUGGUGAUUCGGGAAUAUACUUUUUUUCACCAUGUGGACAUGGCUGGUCAUGUGAAAGGUGUGU
Molecule: long non-coding RNA, 463 nt
Organism: Daktulosphaira vitifoliae (grape phylloxera)
Lineage: Eukaryota; Metazoa; Arthropoda; Insecta; Hemiptera; Phylloxeridae
Exons: 2
Source: RefSeq, a predicted model, not a curated record